RNAcentral lists this ribosomal RNA (971 nucleotides) under human gut metagenome. RNAcentral's name for it is "bacterial LSU rRNA". It matches the Rfam family "Bacterial large subunit ribosomal RNA", at positions 1953 to 2925 of the family's 2925-position model. The record is from RNAcentral.
AAGGUAGCGAAAUUCCUUGUCGGGUAAGUUCCGACCCGCACGAAUGGUGUAACGAUUUGGGUACUGUCUCAACAAGGGACCCGGCGAAAUUGUAGUAUGUGUGAAGAUGCACAUUACCCGCGAUAGGACGGAAAGACCCCGUAGAGCUUUACUGUAGUUUAACAUUGGAUUCCGGUAACAUAUGCACAGGAUAGGUGGGAGGCGGAGAAGCAGUGAUUUCGGUUGCUGCAGAGCCGACGUUGGGAUACCACUCUUGUGUUACUGGGGUUCUAACCUGUGGCCGUGAUCCGGCACAGGAACAGUGUUAGAUGGGCAGUUUGACUGGGGCGGUCGCCUCCAAAAGAGUAACGGAGGCGUCCAAAGGUUCCCUCAGAAUGGUUGGAAACCAUUCGAAGAGUACAAAGGCAGAAGGGAGCCUGACUGCGAGACCGACAGGUCGAGCAGGGACGAAAGUCGGGCUUAGUGAUCCGGCGGUAUAGAGUGGAAUUGCCGUCGCUCAACGGAUAAAAGCUACCUCGGGGAUAACAGGCUUAUCUCCCCCAAGAGUCCACAUCGACGGGGAGGUUUGGCACCUCGAUGUCGGCUCGUCGCAUCCUGGGGCUGAAGCAGGUCCCAAGGGUUUGGCUGUUCGCCAAUUAAAGCGGCACGCGAGCUGGGUUCAGAACGUCGUGAGACAGUUCGGUCGCUAUCCAUCGUGGGCGCAGGAGAUUUGAGAAGAGCUGUCCUCAGUACGAGAGGACCGGGAUGGACGCACCAAGGGUGUAUCAGUUGUCACGCCAGUGGCACAGCUGGGUAGCCAAGUGCGGAUCGGAUAAACGCUGAAGGCAUCUAAGCGUGAAGCCGACUUCAAGAUAAGAUCUCCCAUCCGCAAGGAGUAAGGCCCCAUGUAGACCACAUGGUUGAUAGGUCGCAGGUGGAAGUGCAGUAAUGUACGCAGCUGAGCGAUACUAAUAGGCCGAGGGCUUGAUCAA